This 286-nucleotide ribosomal RNA is filed under the name uncultured bacterium. Its description in RNAcentral is "partial 16S ribosomal RNA". It matches the Rfam family "Bacterial small subunit ribosomal RNA", at positions 30 to 317 of the family's 1533-position model. The record is from RNAcentral.
AUUGAACGCUGGCGGCAUGCCUUACACAUGCAAGUCGAACGGCAGCACGGGGGCAACCCUGGUGGCGAGUGGCGAACGGGUGAGUAACAUAUCGGAACAUACCCUAGAGUGGGGAUAACGUAGCGAAAGUUACGCUAAUACCGCAUACGAUCUAAGGAUGAAAGUGGGGGAUCGCAAGACCUCAUGCUCCUGGAGCGGCCGAUAUCUGAUUAGCUAGUUGGUGGGGUAAAGGCCUACCAAGGCAUCGAUCAGUAGCUGGUCUGAGAGGACGACCAGCCACACUGGA